This 65-nucleotide transfer RNA is filed under the name Echinoparyphium aconiatum. RNAcentral's name for it is "tRNA-Tyr". The record is from RNAcentral. Lineage: Eukaryota; Metazoa; Platyhelminthes; Trematoda; Plagiorchiida; Echinostomatidae.
UCGGUUUAGCAUAUAUGUAGUGUAUGGGAUUGUAGCUCCCGGGGAAGAUGAAUUUCUGGCCGGAG